Long non-coding RNA from Salvelinus sp. IW2-2015, 1618 nucleotides. RefSeq lists it as uncharacterized. The transcript has 2 exons. NCBI's taxonomy places the organism in Eukaryota, Metazoa, Chordata, Actinopteri, Salmoniformes, Salmonidae. The record is from RefSeq and is a predicted model, not a curated record.
UAAUUUCCCAGAACGGUCAGCUCCAACAGCGCCUGGACAAUGUGGAGAGGGACUUCCUCAUCUUCAACAGAGAAAGGUCAAAGAAGGCUGUGGUGGGAACAGAAGCAACAGGCCUCACCACGACAGAGAAGAACAAGGCUAUUGAAGAUGGACAGAACAACAACGUGGACCCGGCAGCCUACAUAUCAGGAUAGUGGACUUCUGCUUUAGCCCGAAGUCGCUACGCGUACCUGGCCGCAGCUUGUAGAUCAACACUACCCAAUCCCCCACUCUCCCUCUGCCGCCGGCCGGUGUAGGCACUCAGAUUGACCUUUAACCCUGACACAUUCCCCAACAGCCGGCCACUAUGCCCAGACUGCUGGAGGUCACAUAGAUUACUACUUUACAGAGUGAGUGGCACCUGACCUAGAGCAGACAGACAGACCUUGGCUCUUUCUUMUUUUCCUCGCUCAGGGAUGUGGCCUCUCAGUGGGCACCCCUUCUUACACUCUGCCCUACCUUGACUUGGUCUGACUUGGCAGCAGAGACAGACAGGAUACAGCCACCAUGCCUGCUAAGCUGAGGCUAGGCUCAGGCCAGGAAGAAAAUUAAGCCUGAUGUUGACAAAUAGGAUAAUAUGUCUGUAGUACAUGAAAACAGAGAAAGGGGGUGUGAGUUGCCUCACAAAAAAUGAAUUAAAAUUAGAGAUGAGAUAUGCGGCCUUUGUUUUCAAGACACCAACCACAGAUUCCUCUUGGAAGACAAAGGGAACCACUGACUUCAGCAGAGACAGAGUUUACUUAAUGAGUCUCUGUGAUGACGUUAGGCAUCACUUGUGACACUCAAGCAAACCAAGAUGAUGGGUACUUGACAUGGACAUUUGGGAUAUAAAUAUUUAUAGAUAAAUAGAUAUUUAUUGUCUGUUCCGCACAGAAGAUAGCUUUGCAUACGCUUCUCCAUUAAUUGUAGAGGUCAAAGUGUAGUGUAUGAAUUCUCAUUCUCUUCUGUUUAAUAUAGGGGUGCCGUAUAGCUACUAUAUGGUACCUGAUUGGUUUCCCCAUGCAGACAAUGAUAAUCAUAUAUGUAGUCUAAUUGAAGUCACCAUCCUGUUGUUCAAUAUGUGCUUGGAAAAUAGCUUUGCCAGUCUUUUGACCCUUUCUGCAAUACAAUUACAUAUUAUCCAAGGCUUUACCUGUCUUAUUAACCAGGCUUUACCUGGUUAUCAGAUCUACUAUUGGCACCUUUAUAACAACCAUUAUUGGUACAGAUAUUCUAAUUAUUGUAGGUUUUGAUAAAUGUAUGUCAUUCAAGGGCCCAAUGAAAGCAGAGUUGUAAAAUGAGUACUCUAUUUUGUUUUUCAUUUGUUGUCACUGUGUGGACUAUUACCUGUAAAUGUGGUCAAGCAGCGAUUAUAAAAGGUGUGCCUUAAUGUCAUAUUUUUCUUUGGGAYCCCAACCUUAUUAUUUUCUUAAAUACACACAAUGAGCAGUUAGGUAACAUCUGGGAAUUCAAAAGGAAAAGUUCACCAGUGUUUUUUUUGCUAUUGAAAAGUAGCACAGUAAUAAAGUACUUUAGGGGUUACCUAACUAACUGCUCGUUUGUUUGUUUGUUUCUGUUUUAAUAAAUAGCCAGAUAAGAA